This 459-nucleotide ribosomal RNA is filed under the name uncultured bacterium. RNAcentral describes it as "partial 16S ribosomal RNA". It matches the Rfam family "Bacterial small subunit ribosomal RNA", at positions 338 to 795 of the family's 1533-position model. The record is from RNAcentral.
CCUACGGGUGGCUGCAGUGAGGAAUAUUGGUCAAUGGGCGCGAGCCUGAACCAGCCAAGUCGCGUGAGGGAAGACGGUCCUAUGGAUUGUAAACCUCUUUUGUCGGGGAGCAAAAGACGCCACGCGUGGCGUUCCGAGAGUACCCGAAGAAAAAGCAUCGGCUAACUCCGUGCCAGCAGCCGCGGUAAUACGGAGGAUGCGAGCGUUAUCCGGAUUUAUUGGGUUUAAAGGGUGCGCAGGCGGAAGAUCAAGUCAGCGGUAAAAUUGAGAGGCGCAACCCCGCCGAGCCGUCGGAACCGGGGGCCUUGAGUACCGGAGAAGUACGCGGAAUGCGUGGUGUAGCGGUGAAAUGCAUAGAUAUCACGCAGAACCCCGAUUGCGAAGGCAGCGUACCGGCCGGUCACUGACGCUGAGGCACGAAAGCGCGGGUAUCGAACAGGAUUAGAUACCCGUGUAGUC